GUGGGGAAUUUUGGACAAUGGGCGCAAGCCUGAUCCAGCAAUGCCGCGUGCAGGAAGAAGGCCUUCGGGUUGUAAACUGCUUUUGUACGGAACGAAACGGCUCUGGUUAAUACCCGGGGCUAAUGACGGUACCGUAAGAAUAAGCACCGGCUAACUACGUGCCAGCAGCCGCGGUAAUACGUAGGGUGCAAGCGUUAAUCGGAAUUACUGGGCGUAAAGCGUGCGCAGGCGGUUUUGUAAGACAGGCGUGAAAUCCCCGGGCUCAACCUGGGAAUGGCGCUUGUGACUGCAAGGCUGGAGUGCGGCAGAGGGGGAUGGAAUUCCGCGUGUAGCAGUGAAAUGCGUAGAUAUGCGGAGGAACACCGAUGGCGAAGGCAAUCCCCUGGGCCUGCACUGACGCUCAUGCACGAAAGCGUGGGGAGCAAACAGGAUUAGAAACCCGAGUAGUCC
RNAcentral lists this ribosomal RNA (450 nucleotides) under uncultured bacterium. Its description in RNAcentral is "partial 16S ribosomal RNA". It matches the Rfam family "Bacterial small subunit ribosomal RNA", at positions 354 to 796 of the family's 1533-position model. The record is from RNAcentral.